This 2826-nucleotide long non-coding RNA is filed under the name Homo sapiens (human). Its description in RNAcentral is "HSALNT0133862". Lineage: Eukaryota; Metazoa; Chordata; Mammalia; Primates; Hominidae. The record is from RNAcentral.
GUAACACAGGAGAUCAAAGGGCAGAUAGAGAUGGGAAACAUCAGGCAAUAAUUAAGCAUCACUCUGAGAGCCUGGCUGGCUCCCCUCCUUUCCCCUCCCCACGCCAGCCCCUGCUUAUUCCGAAGCCCCUUCUUUCAUCUUUUCCUCAGGCUUCUCCACUCUCCCCAUCUCUACUCAUCCCCUCUCCUCCUUCCCACCUUUUCACCUCUUGGUUCACUGGCCUUUCACAUUUCAUCCCCUCCUGCAACAACCACAAUUACCCACCUAGCUCCUGCUGUCUCCCCCAAUCAAAGACUUCCACAUCCUCCCGGAAACUCCCUCCCCUCCACCUCUCUCUCCCUUCCUCUCUUCCUCCCUCCCUUUGCUUUCUGCCAUCUUCCCCUUUCACCUCCUUUCCCCCCUUUCUGCUCCUCCCUCUCUCUCUCAUUCCCUAGUCUUUUGCACCCUUUCUCUCUGCCUGCUAGUGGAGUCACCAUGACAACGGCCUCCAUGACAAUUACAGCCCAGGCAGCAGUGCCUCUUCCCAUGAGGCACUCCAAUACUCACUUGGAAUUUGCUCCCUGAUUUCAUGGCCCAGGCAGUGAAUUUGCCUCACUCCCCAAGUUUCCACAAGGCCACAGGGAAUAGACUUGGUAGCCAACCACAGCCCCGAAGAUGGGAGAAAGCAAAGAAGGAAGAAUGAAGCAUGGGAGAGAAUGAAAGAGGAGAGGGGGAACUGAAGCUCUCAUCUUCCUCUUCUCUGAUGGAACACAAAGGACUCCAGCAAAAACAUCUGCUAAGCACCUAAUAUAUACCAAGCUUCAAUCCUGGCUUUGGAUACACAUGGAUGGUUAAUGACUUUGGGAUCUCUUAAUUUAGGAGAACUAUUAUCUGGACUUCAUGAACAAAAUCACAGUACUUAAAAGUCACGAAUUAAUUAUCUUCAUCUCUGAUGCCCAGAUGGACAUUACAACUCUGAGUUAUGGGUGUGUCAUUAGAAGUGAUUCUUGGAGCAGCCUGAUCCCCAAAUUACAGAAGCAAGAUGAAACUUGGACUCAUAGAACCAGGUGAUCUCCCAGCCACAUCUAUCUCUAGCAAAACAAGAACCUUAAAUAAAAACCAGGCUGAACUGUGGUAUCUUCUGCAUCUAUCUCCUCAUCCUGUGGUCUCUAUUUUACUGAAGAGGAAGAAAUAGCAAGAGGUGUGCCUUCACCCCAGCUAGAACCUCAGGGCCAUGUGGCCAUGAAAGCCAACAGUUUCACUGCUGGAGAGACAGCAUGCCAACAGACAAACUCACAGGAGAGCACGGCUAUACAGGAAGCAUGGAAGCAUAGCAGCUGCUUCUUCUGGGAAGGCCUCAGGAAGCUUUCAAUCACGACAGAAGGCAAAGGUGGAGCCAACACUUCACAUGUCCAGAGCAGGAGGAAGACAGAGAGCCGGGAGGUGCCAUUUUAAACAACCAGAUCUCAGAAGAACUUACUGUCACCACAAAAUCACCAAGGGGGAUGGUGUUAAACCAUGAGAAAACCACCUACACGGCCCAAUCACCUCCAACCAGCACUGGGGAUGACAAUUUAACAGGAGAUUUGGGCAGGGACACAGACCCAAACCAUAUCAGUGUAUGUACAUUUUCGUUUAUUUACUUAAAAAAAAACCUAUUAGAAUCAUUCACUGUCACUGUACCUGGGAGAAAUACCAAAACAACUUUACUAAAACUUACUAAGAUACUAUUAUUGUGCCCAUUAAUUGUUUUCCAGGGAGAUGCACAUUUUUUAGCACAAAAUGCCCAGAUAGAAUUGGUAAAACUGAAAAUAUUAAUUUUAAUACGUCUUUAACAAUGUAAUGUUUUACCAAAAACUUCUCUUAUCUCAUCCUAUUCUUUAAAUAUAAACUUAGCUCACUUGCAAAUGGGGCCAUGUCUGCCAUAUAACCUAGUUAGUAACAUCAGUCACGACUAUCAAAUUAUCAGCCCAAUCAGAGUCACUUUAUGUCAUAAAAUGUCUGACUUCAUUUUUGAAUUUAAGUAAAUGGACUAAUAGACGUUUCAGAAAUAUUGUUAAAAAUUACUCAACCAUAUAUCGUGGAACUUGUGUUUUUUAAGGUAGCAUACUAAAAGCAGUCAAAUCAAGAUUAUGCUGAUACAAAGCGAAUAUAGUCUAUUCAUAUAAUUUAUAAAAACAACAAACACUUAUGCUGCUUCUCACUACUUAAUUUGAAGUAAUGCAGUGUAAUCUGCAGCAAAUAUGUGUUAUUUAUGGACCAAGAAGUAUAAAACUCUCGUUAGUCCUUUGGUAAAUAUGGGUGCAUGUAUGAAUUGAAUCUGUCUCUCAGCUUUUGAAAAUCAUUAAAUCACAAUUAUGAAUAAAAUUUCAGAAAUAAUGCCAUUAAUUUUGUGUGACAUUAUGACCAAGAUUUUCUCAUCUAUUUAGUUAAAGAGAAAGGUACACACUGGUAAAAAGAAAUUGUUGUUACAGCUAGAGUAUCAUUUUAUUCUUCAUUAAUCAGAUCUGGAAAAUACUAAGCAUUUUGUAAGAAGAAAUAAGCUGAGGACUGACAUAAAUAGUUCAUGAUACCAUUUUAUAAAAUAGGUGUUAACUUAUUGAAUAACGAACACUGAAUUUAAAAGAAAUCAGCUAAAGCUUUGUUCACAUACAUUUUAACAUUUACUUGUCCUCAGAAACAUUCCCAUUACAUUGAAUAGAAUCUGUGUCCCUAACCUGUACACUUUCAGCUGUUUCAAGGUGCUUUUCUUUCCGGAUAAUGCUGCUUCCCAGGAAUGAGUAUUGAGAAUAGCUGAACAUAAUUGCUUGUGAUUAAAUUUGUGUAACAAGGUCAUUUUUAGCAUCC